AUUGAACGCUGGCGGCAUGCUUUACACAUGCAAGUCGAACGGCAGCGCGGGCUUCGGCCUGGCGGCGAGUGGCGAACGGGUGUGUAAUGCAUCGGAACGUGCCCAGUAGUGGGGGAUAGCCCGGCCAAAGCCGUAUUAAUACCGCAUACGACCUGUUGUUGAAAGCGGGGGUCCGUAAGUCCUCUCGCUAUUUGAUCGGCCGAUGUCGGUUUAGCUAGUUGGUGGGGUAAAGGCUUACCAAGGCGACGAUCCGUAGCUGGUAUGAGAGGACGACAAGCCACACGGGGACUGAGACACGGCCCAGACUCCUACGGGAGGCAGCAGUGGGGAAUUGUGGACAAUGGGGGCAAACCUGAUCCAGCAAUGCCGCGUGCGGGAAGAAGGCCUUCGGGUUGUAAACCGCUUUUGUUCGGGAAGAAAAACUCUGGGCUAAUACACCGGGGGGAUGACGGUACCGGAAGAAUAAGCACCGGCUAACUACGUG
Molecule: ribosomal RNA, 484 nt
Filed under: uncultured bacterium
Lineage: Bacteria
Description: partial 16S ribosomal RNA
Rfam family: Bacterial small subunit ribosomal RNA
Source: RNAcentral